RNAcentral lists this ribosomal RNA (749 nucleotides) under Bacillus pumilus. RNAcentral's name for it is "bacterial SSU rRNA". It matches the Rfam family "Bacterial small subunit ribosomal RNA", at positions 48 to 781 of the family's 1533-position model. Lineage: Bacteria; Bacillati; Bacillota; Bacilli; Caryophanales; Bacillaceae. The record is from RNAcentral.
CUAAUACAUGCAGUCGAGCGGACAGAAGGGAGCUUGCUCCCGGAUGUUAGCGGCGGACGGGUGAGUAACACGUGGGUAACCUGCCUGUAAGACUGGGAUAACUCCGGGAAACCGGAGCUAAUACCGGAUAGUUCCUUGAACCGCAUGGUUCAAGGAUGAAAGACGGUUUCGGCUGUCACUUACAGAUGGACCCGCGGCGCAUUAGCUAGUUGGUGAGGUAACGGCUCACCAAGGCGACGAUGCGUAGCCGACCUGAGAGGGUGAUCGGCCACACUGGGACUGAGACACGGCCCAGACUCCUACGGGAGGCAGCAGUAGGGAAUCUUCCGCAAUGGACGAAAGUCUGACGGAGCAACGCCGCGUGAGUGAUGAAGGUUUUCGGAUCGUAAAGCUCUGUUGUUAGGGAAGAACAAGUGCAAGAGUAACUGCUUGCACCUUGACGGUACCUAACCAGAAAGCCACGGCUAACUACGUGCCAGCAGCCGCGGUAAUACGUAGGUGGCAAGCGUUGUCCGGAAUUAUUGGGCGUAAAGGGCUCGCAGGCGGUUUCUUAAGUCUGAUGUGAAAGCCCCCGGCUCAACCGGGGAGGGUCAUUGGAAACUGGGAAACUUGAGUGCAGAAGAGGAGAGUGGAAUUCCACGUGUAGCGGUGAAAUGCGUAGAGAUGUGGAGGAACACCAGUGGCGAAGGCGACUCUCUGGUCUGUAACUGACGCUGAGGAGCGAAAGCGUGGGGAGCGAACAGGAUUAG